Molecule: unclassified non-coding RNA, 166 nt
Filed under: uncultured Oidiodendron
Lineage: Eukaryota; Fungi; Ascomycota; Leotiomycetes; Myxotrichaceae
Description: sequence contains ITS1
Source: RNAcentral
CAGAGUUGUCGCCCUCGCGGGUAGAUCUCCCACCCACUGUUAUUGCUACCGCGUUGCUUUGGCGGGCUGCUGGGCCUAGCCCGGCCGCCGGCUCCGGCCGGGGCGCGCCCGCCAGAGGACCCCAAACUCUGAAUGUUAGUGUCGUCUGAGUACUAUACAAUAGUUA